RNAcentral lists this long non-coding RNA (776 nucleotides) under Numida meleagris (helmeted guineafowl). Its description in RNAcentral is "lncRNA (ENSNMEG00000001066.1)". Lineage: Eukaryota; Metazoa; Chordata; Aves; Galliformes; Numididae. The record is from RNAcentral.
ACACGACGCUCUGCACCGCGAUCUCCGGCAUCGCCGCUCCCGACCCGCUCCCAGCGGCGGCCGGAAGUCGAUGGAGCCGCUUCCGGCAUGAAAAAAGAGCCGCUUCCGGUCUGGAGCGGGGAGACUUCCGGUCGCGAGCUGAGCCACUUCCGGCCAGGAGUCGAGCCGUUCCCCGCCGGAAGCCAACGAGAAGCGACUUCCGGUGAGGGCAGAAGAGCUUCCGGUGAACUCCGGAAGUUCCUCGUUCUGCAGCCGCUCUGCGAACCGAGUCCGCCAAGCUCCGUGGUGUUCGGUCCUCCGGGUCGCCGAGGGUUCUCUCUGACCCCCAUCUAUGGGGCCGCGCGGACCCCAACCCCACUCCGGGGCUAUGGGGCGGAUUAUGGGGCUAUGGGGCAGGCUAUGGGGCGGGCUGCGGGGUUAUAGGGCAGGCUAUGGGUUGGGAGGUGGGGUUAUGGGGCCGGCUACGGGGCAGGCUAUGGGGCAGGCUAUGGUGGGGCAGGCUAUGGGGCAGGCUAUGGGGAGGGCUGUGGGGCUAUGGGAUGCGCUAUGGGGCGGGCUAUGGGGCAGGAAAUGGGGCUGUGGGGUGCGCUAUGGGGCAGGCUAUGGGGCAGGAAAUGGGGCUGUGGGGUGCGCUAUGGGGCAGGAAAUGGUGCUAUGGGGUGCGCUAUGGGGCAGGCUGCGGGGUUGAGGCCGUGGGGUGGGGUCCCCCGCCCCAUAGAUCCCCCCCACGGAUUUGGAGACCCCCGCCCCCCAACCACACAAAAGCGCUGCCCCAU